Long non-coding RNA from Papaver somniferum (opium poppy), 1806 nucleotides. RefSeq lists it as uncharacterized. The transcript has 3 exons. Lineage: Eukaryota; Viridiplantae; Streptophyta; Magnoliopsida; Ranunculales; Papaveraceae. The record is from RefSeq and is a predicted model, not a curated record.
UCUUUUUUUCUUCAUUAUUCUUCGUUCUUCUUUUUCUUCUUCUCUUUCAUUCUUCUCCUGUUCCUCUUCUUCUGCGAGUUCGAGUGAUGAAUUUGAGAGCACGUUUGAGAGUUUUUUAUUGAUAAAAAUCAACUGAUGAAGAUGUAUAGAUGAUGGAGGAGUCGAGGUUGUUGUUAAUGAAGAAGAAAAGAUGAUUCAGAGAACCAAGUUGGGGUUAUCUGUGAUUAUGAAUUAGGGUUUCGAAAUAGUGAUGAUUAAGAUGAAAUUGAAGAUGGGUUUGUUCUUAAUUGGGUUUGAUAGAAGUUGUGGGGUUGUUCUGAGGUUGAUUUGAGAAUUGAAUCAAGAGCUAGGGUUCAUAAGAAAAGUUCAGGGGAGAGUUUGAAGAUGAAGUUAUUGAUUUAGGGGAUUGAAUUAAUGAUGGAUGUGUUCUGAAUCGAAUAAUAAGUGGAUGUAUUGGGUUUAAUUGCAGUUCUGUAGGAAAUUGAAUCUGAAAUUAGGGAUUUUGACAUAAUGGAGAUUUAGGGUUCUUGGGCUUGAAGUUUAACUGGAGAAGAUGAAAUCGACAGUUUAGGGUUUUGAUGAAAUCAAGGUAGAAAAUUAAGCAUAGGGUGAAUCAUACAUUUCAAUUUGGGAUUUAGUCUGAGAACAAAGAAGAGGUUGAAUUCGAAGUUGGUUGAAAGAAACUUCUUUGAGGUAAUUUUUAUCUGAGUUGAUUUAGUAAAGUCUUUUAUUUUAUUGAUUGAGUAUAUACAGUUGGUAAUUGAAUUAAGAAUAGCUGGGUGUUUGAGUAGAUGUUGUAUGAAUGGGGAUUACAGGUAGUGGUGGUGUUAUCAUCGUUGUUGUGUAUUGUGUAAUGCAGGGGAGAAAUUGGAGGUUUGUUCUGGUUCACGGGGAGUUGUUAUUUGAAUUGAGAAGUAGUUGAGCUGUGUUAACUGUAGUGGUGCUAUAAGGUGCAAGAGAAUGUGUGGAUGAGUGUAUAUGUAUUACAUUUGGUGGUGCAAGUGGUGGUUAUAUGUGCUGGGAAGAAUUGGGAAUUAUUAGGUUGCAGGUAAUGGUGUUUAACUGAUGUUGUGUUGUUUUGAGUGAAGAAAUUGUAGUUGAUGGAAUUGUUGUAAUGAAUAGUUGCAGAAGAUGGAUUACAGAUAUGCGCAACUGUAUAGGGGUUGCCUGUAAUGAAGGUUAUGUUGUUGUUGGGAUUCAAAUUGAGUGUGCAGAUUUGCCUGAGUUGGUAGUGUUGAACUGAACUCAGUUGAGUGGUUUGUGAUUUGGGUUAAUACUGAUAAAGAAUAUGGUUUGUAUGUAAUUGCUGAAUUUAAGUUACAUCAGGGGAGAGUUGAGUUGUAGUGAAGUUAUAAUGGUUAUGAUUGAUCCAGUUGAAUGAAAUAAUCCGAGUUGAAGUUGGUUUGGAUGUUGUGUUGGAAUGAGUAGAUGUAUUGUUGAAAUGGCAGUAGCUUGUGAAAGCCUGCAAUUGCAGACCAAGUUAGUCUAUUAACAACGAUCGAUUCAAAAGAUGAACUAGUGGAACGUGGAUCUCGAGAUAGGCGUGGCUUGUCAUCAAAAGAGUUUCAGAGACAGAUCAGAGUUGUGCAGCGAAAGCUUCGAGACGUUGAGUCCGUUAGUUGGUUAACUUCGGCUAUGAUUAUUAUGAUGGAUAUUAUAUUCGUAAACCAUAUGACUAUUGUAUAUGUAUCAUUUGAGAGGAGUUCUUGUAUAUAUAUACUUUUCAGAGCGUGGCUAGUUUUGGGGUUAAGUUUUGAAGCAGAUUUCUUAAUUGAAUGUUUAAGUAAAUGAUUUAGAUUCGUAGUG